CAUUGCUCAAUCAAAUUGAGCCAAUAAUAAUCAAAUUAUUAAUUAAUUAUUCUUCUAAUUUACUAACUAUUAGUAAAUAAUUUAUUGUGACCCUUGUAUAGGAUUAAUUAUCAAUCACAUUGAUAAUUAAUCCUUCAAUGAUUCAUAAUCAUCGAUCAGCUAUUUGAUUAGACGGUACUUCUACGUAUGUUAUCCCAUAGGUUUGAACCUAAACCG
Molecule: long non-coding RNA, 216 nt
Filed under: Elaeis guineensis (African oil palm)
Lineage: Eukaryota; Viridiplantae; Streptophyta; Magnoliopsida; Arecales; Arecaceae
Description: long non-coding RNA (EGUI_LNC039742)
Source: RNAcentral